UACGGAGGAUCCAAGCGUUAUCCGGAAUCAUUGGGUUUAAAGGGUCCGUAGGCGGCCCGAUAAGUCAGCGGUGAAAUCUCCCGGCUCAACCGGGAAAUGGCCAUUGAUACUGUCGGGCUUGAAUUGCUGGGAAGUAACUAGAAUAUGUAGUGUAGCGGUGAAAUGCUUAGAGAUUACAUGGAAUACCAAUUGCGAAGGCAGGUUACUACCAGCGGAUUGACGCUGAUGGACGAAAGCGUGGGUAGCGAACAGG
This 253-nucleotide ribosomal RNA is filed under the name uncultured bacterium. RNAcentral describes it as "partial 16S ribosomal RNA". It matches the Rfam family "Bacterial small subunit ribosomal RNA", at positions 524 to 776 of the family's 1533-position model. The record is from RNAcentral.